This 378-nucleotide ribosomal RNA is filed under the name uncultured eukaryote. RNAcentral describes it as "partial 18S ribosomal RNA". It matches the Rfam family "Eukaryotic small subunit ribosomal RNA", at positions 592 to 976 of the family's 1831-position model. The record is from RNAcentral.
CAAUAGCGUAUAUUAAGGUUGUUGCAGUUAAAAAGCUCGUAGUUGAAACUUGGGCCUGGCUGGCGGGUCCGCCUCACCGCGUGCACUCGUCCGGCCGGGCCUUCCUUCUGAAGAACCUCAUGCCCUUCACUGGGCGUGCUGGGGAAUCAGGACUUUUACUUUGAAAAAAUUAGAGUGUUCAAAGCAGGCCUUUGCUCGAAUACGUUAGCAUGGAAUAAUAAAAUAGGGCGUGCGUUUCUAUUUUGUUGGUUUCUAGAGACGCCGCAAUGAUUAACAGGAACAGUCGGGGGCAUCAGUAUUCAGUUGUCAGAGGUGAAAUUCUUGGAUUUACUGAAGACUAACUACUGCGAAAGCAUUUGCCAAGGAUGUUUUCAUUAA